This 468-nucleotide ribosomal RNA is filed under the name uncultured bacterium. RNAcentral's name for it is "partial 16S ribosomal RNA". It matches the Rfam family "Bacterial small subunit ribosomal RNA", at positions 28 to 507 of the family's 1533-position model. The record is from RNAcentral.
GACGAACGCUGGCGGCGUGCUUAACACAUGCAAGUCGAACGGAAAGGCCCUGCUUUUGUGGGGUGCUCGAGUGGCGAACGGGUGAGUAACACGUGAGUAACCUGCCCUUGACUUUGGGAUAACUUCAGGAAACUGGGGCUAAUACCGGAUAGGAGCUCCUGCUGCAUGGUGGGGGUUGGAAAGUUUCGGCGGUUGGGGAUGGACUCGCGGCUUAUCAGCUUGUUGGUGGGGUAGUGGCUUACCAAGGCUUUGACGGGUAGCCGGCCUGAGAGGGUGACCGGCCACAUUGGGACUGAGAUGCGGCCCAGACUCCUACGGGAGGCAGCAGUGGGGGAUAUUGCACACUGGGCGGGAGCCUGAUGCAGCAACGCCGCGUGCGGGGUGACGGCCUUCGGGUUGGAAACCGCUUUCGCCGGUGACGAAGCGUGAGUGACGGUAAUGGGUAAAGAAGCACCGGCUAACUACGUG